UAGUCCAACAAGCAAGCAGCAUCUGGGA
Molecule: non-coding RNA, 28 nt
Filed under: Mus musculus (house mouse)
Lineage: Eukaryota; Metazoa; Chordata; Mammalia; Rodentia; Muridae
Source: RNAcentral